CUGAAUUUUUUUUUUGUUUCAAGAUGGAGUUUCACUCUGUCACCCAGGCUGGAGUGCAGUGGUGCGAUCUUGGCUGACUGCAACCUCUGCCUCCCGAGCUCAAGCGAUUCUCGGGCCGCAGCCUCCCAACACUGGAAUUUUAUAACAACGAAGCAAUAGAAGAGAUCCCAGUCCCAGCCCUGGAAUGGGUCGUGGAGGCACCAGGCUGCUUCUUUGGUUGACAGAAGAUGGGAUGAGGACGGGUUCGAGGGACGGCCUGGGAUAAUGGACAAAGCGAAAUAUUGGGAUAUUUUAACAACCACACUCACCUGCUAUUCAGCUUGGGUGGAGGCUGAUUGGCCACCAGCCACCACCUUCACUGGGGAUUGGAAGGUAUAGCUGGGUCUUCU
This 389-nucleotide long non-coding RNA is filed under the name Homo sapiens (human). RNAcentral describes it as "HSALNT0241673". The record is from RNAcentral. Lineage: Eukaryota; Metazoa; Chordata; Mammalia; Primates; Hominidae.